AGGACGAACGCUGGCGGCGUGCUUAACACAUGCAAGUCAAGGGGGCCUCGCAAGGGGCAACCGGCGAACGGGUGCGUAACACGUGAGCAACCUGCCUUUGAGAGGGGGAUAGCCGGCCCAACGGCCGGGUAAUACCGCAUACGCUCGUCGUGUGGCAUCACAUGAUGAGGAAACGUUUACGGCUCAGAGAGGGGCUCGCGGCCUAUCAGCUAGUUGGUGCGGUCACGGCGUACCAAGGCGACGACGGGUAGC
Molecule: ribosomal RNA, 252 nt
Filed under: uncultured soil bacterium
Lineage: Bacteria
Description: partial 16S ribosomal RNA
Rfam family: Bacterial small subunit ribosomal RNA
Source: RNAcentral